UACUCGAGCGGCGAGCGGGUGAGUAACACGUGAGUAAUCUGCCCUGCGCUCUGGGAUAGCCACCGGAAACGGUGAUUAAUACCGGAUAGGACCACUUCACGCAUGUGAUGGUGGUGGAAAGUUUUUUCGGCGCAGGAUGUGCUCGCGGCCUAUCAGCUUGUUGGUGAGGUAACGGCUCACCAAGGCUUUGACGGGUAACCGGCCUGAGAGGGUGACCGGUCACACUGGGACUGAGACACGGCCCAGACUCCUACGGGAGGCAGCAGUGGGGAAUAUUGGACAAUGGGCGGAAGCCUGAUCCAGCAACGCCGCGUGAGGGAUGACGGCCUUCGGGUUGUAAACCUCUUUCAGUACCGACGAAGCGAAAGUGACGGUAGGUACAGAAGAAGGACCGGCCAACUACGUGCCAGCAGCCGCGGUAAUACGUAGGGUCCGAGCGUUGUCCGGAAUUAUUGGGCGUAAAGGGCUCGUAGGCGGUUUGUCGCGUCGGGAGUGAAAACACCGGGCUUAACUCGGUGCUUGCUUUCGAUACGGGCAGACUAGAGGUAUGCAGGGGAGAAUGGAAUUCCUGGUGUAGCGGUGAAAUGCGCAGAUAUCAGGAGGAACACCGGUGGCGAAGGCGG
RNAcentral lists this ribosomal RNA (623 nucleotides) under uncultured Actinomycetes bacterium. Its description in RNAcentral is "bacterial SSU rRNA". It matches the Rfam family "Bacterial small subunit ribosomal RNA", at positions 88 to 724 of the family's 1533-position model. The record is from RNAcentral. Lineage: Bacteria; Bacillati; Actinomycetota; Actinomycetes.